RNAcentral lists this ribosomal RNA (506 nucleotides) under Barretthydrus tibialis. RNAcentral's name for it is "partial 16S ribosomal RNA". The stretch from base 383 to 506 matches the Rfam family "Bacterial large subunit ribosomal RNA", at positions 2473 to 2597 of the family's 2925-position model. Lineage: Eukaryota; Metazoa; Arthropoda; Insecta; Coleoptera; Dytiscidae. The record is from RNAcentral.
GUCCUUUAGAUUUAGAAUUUAAGGUUUAAUUUGCCCACUGAGAUAUUGAAUGGCCGCAGUAAUUUGACUGUGCAAAGGUAGCAUAAUCAAUAGUUUUUUAAUUAAAAGCUUGAAUGAAUGAUUGGACGAGAUAAAGUCUGUCUUUAAUUAUUAAUUAGAAUUUAAUUUUUAAGUUAAAAAGCUUAAAUAUUUAUAAAAGACGAGAAGACCCUAUAGAUCUUUAUUUAAUUAAUUUUAUUUUUAAUAAGGAUUAUUUUAUUAGUUAAUUUUAAUUGAAUUUUGUUGGGGUAAUAGAAAGAUAAAAAUAAUUCUUUUAUUUAUUUACAAAGAUUAUUGGUUAUUUGAUCCUUAAAUUAAGAUUAAAAGUUUAAGUUACCUUAGGGAUAACAGCGUAAUUUUUUUAGAGAGUUCAUAUCGAUAAAAAAGUUUGCGACCUCGAUGUUGGAUUAAAAAUUAUUCUAGGUGAAGAAGUUUAGAGAUUUGGUCUGUUCCACCAUUAAAUUUUU